Molecule: small nuclear RNA, 62 nt
Filed under: Erinaceus europaeus (western European hedgehog)
Lineage: Eukaryota; Metazoa; Chordata; Mammalia; Eulipotyphla; Erinaceidae
Description: U7 small nuclear RNA (ENSEEUG00000022344.1)
Rfam family: U7 small nuclear RNA
About the family: Animal histone pre-mRNAs are spliced by a different mechanism than nuclear pre-mRNAs and self-splicing introns. This processing involves the U7 snRNP, which contains only one RNA species: U7.
Source: Rfam by way of RNAcentral
UAGUGUUACAGCUCUUUUAGAAUUUGUCUAGCAGGUCUUCCGGUCUCUACUGGAAGGCCCCU